This 253-nucleotide unclassified non-coding RNA is filed under the name uncultured Sphingomonadaceae bacterium. RNAcentral describes it as "contains 16S-23S intergenic spacer region". It matches the Rfam family "Bacterial small subunit ribosomal RNA", at positions 524 to 776 of the family's 1533-position model. The record is from RNAcentral. Lineage: Bacteria; Pseudomonadati; Pseudomonadota; Alphaproteobacteria; Sphingomonadales; Sphingomonadaceae.
UACGGAGGGAGCUAGCGUUGUUCGGAAUUACUGGGCGUAAAGCGCGCGUAGGCGGCCGAUCAAGUCAGAGGUGAAAUCCCGCGGCUCAACUCCGGAACUGCCUUUGAAACUAUUUGGCUAGAAUCUUGGAGAGGCGAGUGGAAUUCCGAGUGUAGAGGUGAAAUUCGUAGAUAUUCGGAAGAACACCAGUGGCGAAGGCGACUCGCUGGACAAGUAUUGACGCUGAGGUGCGAAAGCGUGGGGAGCAAACAGG